GGCCUUAUAUUCAAUUAUGAUUUUAGACUGCAAUUCUAGAGGUGUAGAAUUACUAAGGCCU
Molecule: transfer RNA, 61 nt
Filed under: Abracris sp. OR222
Lineage: Eukaryota; Metazoa; Arthropoda; Insecta; Orthoptera; Acrididae
Description: tRNA-Cys
Source: RNAcentral